RNAcentral lists this ribosomal RNA (775 nucleotides) under uncultured bacterium. RNAcentral's name for it is "bacterial SSU rRNA". It matches the Rfam family "Bacterial small subunit ribosomal RNA", at positions 128 to 878 of the family's 1533-position model. The record is from RNAcentral.
GCCUUCAGGAUGGGGACAACAGACGGAAACGACUGCUAAUACCGAAUAAGUUCCAAGAGCCGCAUGGCCCAUGGAAGAAAAGGUGGCCUCUACCUGUAAGCUAUCGCCUGAAGAGGGGUUUGCGUCUGAUUAGCUGGUUGGAGGGGUAACGGCCCACCAAGGCGACGAUCAGUAGCCGGUCUGAGAGGAUGAACGGCCACACUGGAACUGAGACACGGUCCAGACUCCUACGGGAGGCAGCAGUGGGGAAUCUUCCGCAAUGGGCGAAAGCCUGACGGAGCAACGCCGCGUGAGUGAUGACGGCCUUCGGGUUGUAAAACUCUGUGAUCCGGGACGAAAAGGCAGAGUGCGAAGAACAAACUGCAUUGACGGUACCGGAAAAGCAAGCCACGGCUAACUACGUGCCAGCAGCCGCGGUAAUACGUAGGUGGCAAGCGUUGUCCGGAAUUAUUGGGCGUAAAGCGCGCGCAGGCGGCUUCCCAAGUCCCUCUUAAAAGUGCGGGGCUUAACCCCGUGAUGGGAAGGAAACUGGGAAGCUGGAGUAUCGGAGAGGAAAGUGGAAUUCCUAGUGUAGCGGUGAAAUGCGUAGAGAUUAGGAAGAACACCGGUGGCGAAGGCGACUUUCUGGACGAAAACUGACGCUGAGGCGCGAAAGCGUGGGGAGCAAACAGGAUUAGAUACCCUGGUAGUCCACGCCGUAAACGAUGGAUACUAGGUGUAGGAGGUAUCGACCCCUCCUGUGCCGGAGUUAACGCAAUAAGUAUCCCGCCUGGGA